RNAcentral lists this ribosomal RNA (253 nucleotides) under uncultured bacterium. RNAcentral's name for it is "partial 16S ribosomal RNA". It matches the Rfam family "Bacterial small subunit ribosomal RNA", at positions 524 to 776 of the family's 1533-position model. The record is from RNAcentral.
UACGUAGGGGGCGAGCGUUGUCCGGAAUCAUUGGGCGUAAAGCGCGUGUAGGCGGCCCGGUAAGUCCGCUGUGAAAGUCGGGGGCUCAACCCUCGAAUGCCGGUGGAUACUGUCGGGCUAGAGUGCGGGAGAGGCGAGUGGAAUUCCUGGUGUAGCGGUGAAAUGCGCAGAUAUCAGGAGGAACACCAAUUGCGAAGGCAGCUCGCUGGAACGUAACUGACGCUGAGACGCGAAAGCGUGGGGAGCAAACAGG